This 452-nucleotide ribosomal RNA is filed under the name uncultured bacterium. RNAcentral's name for it is "SSU rRNA". It matches the Rfam family "Bacterial small subunit ribosomal RNA", at positions 26 to 518 of the family's 1533-position model. The record is from RNAcentral.
AGAGCGAACGCUGGCGGCAGGCCUAACACAUGCAAGUCGAGCGCCCGUAGCAAUACGGGAGCGGCAGACGGGAUAGUAACACGUGGGAACGCGCCCUUCGGUUCGGAAUAACUCAGGGAAACUUGAGCUAAUACCGGAUACGCCCUUACGGGGAAAGAUUUAUUGCCGAAGGAACGGCCCGCGUCCGAUUAGCUAGUUGGUGAGGUAACGGCUCACCAAGGCGACGAUCGGUAGCUGGUCUGAGAGGACGAUCAGCCACACUGGGACUGAGACACGGCCCAGACUCCUACGGGAGGCAGCAGUGGGGAAUAUUGCGCAAUGGGCGAAAGCCUGACGCAGCGACGCCGCGUGGGGGAUGAAGGCCUUCGGGUUGUAACCCUUUCAGCAGGGACGAAGCGAAAGUGACGGUACCUGCAGAAGAAGCGCCGGCUAACGUACGUGCCAGCAGCCGC